GGAAGGGUGUACCGAAUGGUAAGGUACUCGCUUGGAAAGCGAGCGAGCGAAAGCUCUUGCAGGUUCGACUCCUGUCCCUUCCG
Molecule: non-coding RNA, 83 nt
Organism: Candidatus Nomurabacteria bacterium
Lineage: Bacteria; Candidatus Nomuraibacteriota
Source: Rfam